UGUGCGGUUAUCUUAAGAGAGAAAGUCAGUUGCUGUAUCCGAGGGUGGGGAUGCCAUCCUCCCGUGUCGCUCUGUCACAGCGGGCCAGUCGGUGAAGUCUGCGCGCUGGAGGAGAAACGGGGAAGUACUGCUGGAGCUGAAUGGUCGGACAGGGGGAAUCACAUACGGGGAUGACUUUAACAGAAGCCGGGUAUCGAUACCAUCUGACUGGGACCGACGGGCAGACCUGUCCCUCACCAUAAAGGGAGCUCAGCAACAAGACGGAGGAGUUUAUUACUGUGAUGUAGAGAAGGCCGAGAAACACCGCUCUGCUGUGCGCCUGCGAGUGUGCAAACCACCGGAGUCCUUCCACUGGAUAUGGAUCACAAUCAUCAUAACAGCAGCCGUGACAUCUGUGAUUGUUUUUACUCUCAAGUUCUUUUGGGGCUGGAGAGAGAAGACCAAGGGUGUACAUGCAUGAAGAGAGCAGAGGAGACAGUGCCCGAAACAGUCCACUAAAUGACCAAUCAUUUAUAAUCAGGAGGAAAGCACAUCUCUAAAAAUUGCCCUGCCAAGUCUUCUGAUGUUAUACUGCCUGUAAAAACAAAUAGAAAUAGCUUUUUGUAGUGCAUUACUUUUAGUACCAAAGUCCAAACCCGAACCUUUAUUUCACUGUGUAAUGAAAGUCUUCAUGGCAAAAUAAACAGCAGAUAUCUGCACACUGCUAACUUACAGUAUAAAGAUAAAAGAAUACACAGAUACAGAGAUUUCUUUCUAGCUUUUGACUUAUUGAUUUAUUUGUGUCUUCUUCUUCUUGGCAGCUCUUCACUUGGUACAGUUGAAGGUCUGUCCUGAGAGAGAAGGUAUAGCUUGGUUAUAACA
Oreochromis aureus is the source of this 861-nucleotide long non-coding RNA. RefSeq lists it as uncharacterized. Lineage: Eukaryota; Metazoa; Chordata; Actinopteri; Cichliformes; Cichlidae. The transcript is spliced from 3 exons. The record is from RefSeq and is a predicted model, not a curated record.